UCCAGACUCCUACGGGAGGCAGCAGUGGGGAAUAUUGCACAAUGGGGGAAACCCUGAUGCAGCAACGCCGCGUGAAGGAAGACGGUUUUCGGAUUGUAAACUUCUGUUCUUAGUGAAGAAGAAUGACGGUAGCUAAGGAGCAAGCCACGGCUAACUACGUGCCAGCAGCCGCGGUAAUACGUAGGUGGCAAGCGUUGUCCGGAAUUACUGGGUGUAAAGGGAGCGUAGGCGGGGAUGCAAGUUGGGUGUCAAAACUACCGGCUCAACUGGUAGUCGCACUCAAAACUGCAGCUCUUGAGUGAAGUAGAGGCAGGCGGAAUUCCUGGUGUAGCGGUGAAAUGCGUAGAUAUUAGGAGGAACACCAGUGGCGAAGGCGGCCUGCUGGGCUUUUACUGACGCUGAGGCUCGAAAGUGUGGGGAGCAAACAGGAUUAGAUACCCCAGUAA
This 446-nucleotide ribosomal RNA is filed under the name uncultured bacterium. Its description in RNAcentral is "bacterial SSU rRNA". It matches the Rfam family "Bacterial small subunit ribosomal RNA", at positions 330 to 793 of the family's 1533-position model. The record is from RNAcentral.